This is a long non-coding RNA of Melitaea cinxia (Glanville fritillary), 531 nucleotides long. RefSeq lists it as uncharacterized. The transcript is spliced from 2 exons. The record is from RefSeq and is a predicted model, not a curated record. NCBI's taxonomy places the organism in Eukaryota, Metazoa, Arthropoda, Insecta, Lepidoptera, Nymphalidae.
UUUUAUUCAUCAAUACAGUAAUGUCACGUUACAAGUAAACACGAUAGAACUAAAGCAGGUAUAAUACAAUGUUGUAAAUUAUUGACAAAUGAAUGCUAUGAACAUUAAGGUGCGGUGUUUUGCGCGUGCGCAGUGACUAAGCGGUUAGCGGCGAGCGACGAGUCGUAGUCGACAUUAUUUGGUCGGAGUCUGUGGGCCGGCAUCGGCCACGGCCGCGCGAUUAACUGGCGCGCGGAGAUCAUCAUGUGCUCUGUGUGCAACGCGAUGUACUUCAUAGAACAUUUCAACCGCAUACUGUACCGCUGCUAGCUCUAAUAUGUAAUCAAGUUGUAAUUUUAUUUUAUUCAUAUGAUAUACCUGUCUGUCGGUCUGUAUACAGAACACGGCUGUGGGCAUAAUGUUCUUCAUAGGAAACAUAAAAGCGAUGGUUUAUUAUUUCACUAUGGUGUGUAAGUAUAAAGCAUCAUUACAUCGUAACUUCUACGUUUUCUAGAGUAUUGAAAUCCGGGAAAAUAAAUAAUGACGAAGAAA